GAAAUCAAAGUGAUGGGAAAGCAUUGUACAACAGCUGUUGACUUCAGGAUAUUUCAUGGAUGAGUUAUACUCCUUGACUCCCAUGUAAAGUUAACUUAUUUUGCUCUCUGCAUUAGUAUGUUCCAAAUUAACCACACACAAUUUAAUUAGGUGACCGUUCUCUGUAGGAGUGUAUCAUCCGCUUGCUAUGCAAACCGAGGAAAUCAAAGUGGCAAAGCAAUUGAAUGCAUGUGUUGACUUCAGGAUAUCUCAAGGACGAGUUAGAAUCUAUGACGCUCAGGUAAAAUUAACUUAUUUUGCUCUUUGCAUCAGUAUGUUCCAAAUUAACUGCACAAAAUUUAAUUAGGUGAUUAUUUUCUGUAGGGAUGCAUCCUCUGCUUGCUACACAAACUGAGGAAACCAAAGCAGCAAAGCAUUGUACUGCAGAUGUCGACUUCGGAAUAUCUCAUGAACCAGUUAUACUCCUUGAUGCUCACGUAAAAUUAACUUAUUUUGCUCUCUGCAAUUGCAUAAUAGAACGGUUGAGCUAAACAUCUCGCUGCUGAUAUUUUAAAAUGUAUUGCAACCACUAUACAACCCAUCCAUCGUAAUUGAUAUGUUGAGACUGGAUCGUAGUAGUUGUUCUGCCUCAUCUAUCACUAUCUGCGGGCUUGCUUUGAUUAUGUUUCUCCCAACUUUCUGUAACUAAAAAGCAGCCUGUAAAUGUAGCUUGAAUAAAAAUGGUACCUUUCAGUUUUGUGCAAGUUCAAAGUAUUAGUAGUUUUAGUUUGUCCAAUUUUUGCAGGGAUAUUGUGUGAGGUCUGGUACAAACUUUUAAGACAAUCACUUAAUACAUUCAUGGGAUCACCAACUUUUGGCGUUUGUUGAUACUAGCUAGGUGGGGCCAUGAAGACACGAUUCAUGGGAUUACCAACUGCUGGUAUAGCUUAUUCUUUUCUGUUGCAGCUAUUCCGGAGAAGUUUAGAGCUUCUGCAACCUUUUGAAGACACGAUUUGUAGUUGCGGAGAUGAAACAAUCAAUCAGUUGCGAUGCAUUACAUAAUCUUUUUGCUUUGGACAUUGAUGGGUAUUAUUUUGCCACAAAGGACAGGAGCUGUGCCAUUUGACUCGAAGGAUAAAGCGUUCAUCACAAGGGGGUGGUCUUUAGGAUGUACACAAAAGAGGAAAUUUCCUUUUGUAUAGAACCAAAUUAUAUGAUUUAAUUGACCAUUCUCUUGUACACAAUGUUUAUCAUGUAUUAAGUACAUUUUAUUGUCAAAUAUGUUUACUUUUUUUUAGUGCACAAGUUCAUAACUCCUUGGACUUUCUAAUUGCAGGCUCAACUAUUUGAAACCACUAAUCUGAUUUUGUUGGGUCUAUGUAUUAGUGUAUGUGUGUAUUGAAGUUUGGUGAGUCUCAGGAAGAACCAAACUUUUGUUCCUAUCUCAUCNNNNNNNNNNNNNNNNNNNNNNNNNNNNNNNNNNNNNNNNNNNNNNNNNNNNNNNNNNNNNNNNNNNNNNNNNNNNNNNNNNNNNNNNNNNNNNNNNNNNUCUGUUGUUCAAGCUUCAAAUAUAUCUUGUUUAUUAUCUUUCCUUUUCUGCAAACUAAUGGACCAUAUUUCUACUCAAACAGAGGCAAAGACGUCUUCUUAAUGUUGCAGAAGUUUGGAGGCAUCAAGGUCAGUUUUAAUGCACAUAAUGACUAAUGCUUCCGCAUUGUAAUCUCUAAUUUGUUAUCGAGCUUCUAUGCUUCAACACAUCUAAAAUUUCAAAAGCUUUUCCGGGUCGAUACGGUUACUUGAGAAUCAUACCAAAGAUAGCCUUAGCAGUUCAUUCCAUACCAAACUUGAGCAACACAAAAGUUAAGUUAGGUGACUGUUCUUUGUAGGAAUGCAUCCUCCUCUUGCUAUGCAAACUGAGGAAAUCAAAGUGAUGGGAAAGCAUUGUACAACAGCUGUUGACUUCAGGAUAUUUCAUGGAUGAGUUAUACUCCUUGACUCCCAUGUAAAGUUAACUUAUUUUGCUCUCUGCAUUAGUAUGUUCCAAAUUAACCACACACAAUUUAAUUAGGUGACCGUUCUCUGUAGGAGUGUAUCAUCCGCUUGCUAUGCAAACCGAGGAAAUCAAAGUGGCAAAGCAAUUGAAUGCAUGUGUUGACUUCAGGAUAUCUCAAGGACGAGUUAGAAUCUAUGACGCUCAGGUAAAAUUAACUUAUUUUGCUCUUUGCAUCAGUAUGUUCCAAAUUAACUGCACAAAAUUUAAUUAGGUGAUUAUUUUCUGUAGGGAUGCAUCCUCUGCUUGCUACACAAACUGAGGAAACCAAAGCAGCAAAGCAUUGUACUGCAGAUGUCGACUUCGGAAUAUCUCAUGAACCAGUUAUACUCCUUGAUGCUCACGUAAAAUUAACUUAUUUUGCUCUCUGCAAUUGCAUAAUAGAACGGUUGAGCUAAACAUCUCGCUGCUGAUAUUUUCAAAUGUAUUGCAACUACUAUACAACCCAUCCAUCGUAAUUGGUAUGUUGAGACUGGAUCGUAGUAGUUGUUCUGCCUCAUCUAUCACUAUCUGCGGGCUUGCUUUGAUUAUGUUUCUCCCAACUUUCUGUAACUAAAAAGCAGCCUGUAAAUGUAGCUUGAAUAAAAAUGGUACCUUUCAGUUUUGUGCAAGUUCAAAGUAUUAGUAGUUUUAGUUUGUCCAAUUUUUGCAGGGAUAUUGUGUGAGGUCUGGUACAAACUUUUAAGACAAUCACUUAAUACAUUCAUGGGAUCACCAACUUUUGGCGUUUGUUGAUACUAGCUAGGUGGGGCCAUGAAGACACGAUUCAUGGGAUUACCAACUGCUGGUAUAGCUUAUUCUUUUCUGUUGCAGCUAUUCCGGAGAAGUUUAGAGCUUCUGCAACCUUUUGAAGACACGAUUUGUAGUUGCGGAGAUGAAACAAUCAAUCAGUUGCGAUGCAUUACAUAAUCUUUUUGCUUUGGACAUUGAUGGGUAUUAUUUUGCCACAAAGGACAGGAGCUGUGCCAUUUGACUCGAAGGAUAAAGCGUUCAUCACAAGGGGGUGGUCUUUAGGAUGUACACAAAAGAGGAAAUUUCCUUUUGUAUAGAACCAAAUUAUAUGAUUUAAUUGACCAUUCUCUUGUACACAAUGUUUAUCAUGUAUUAAGUACAUUUUAUUGUCAAAUAUGUUUACUUUUUUUUAGUGCACAAGUUCAUAACUCCUUGGACUUUCUAAUUGCAGGCUCAACUAUUUGAAACCACUAAUCUGAUUUUGUUGGGUCUAUGUAUUAGUGUAUGUGUGUAUUGAAGUUUGGUGAGUCUCAG
Molecule: long non-coding RNA, 3295 nt
Filed under: Triticum aestivum (bread wheat)
Lineage: Eukaryota; Viridiplantae; Streptophyta; Magnoliopsida; Poales; Poaceae
Description: long non-coding RNA (TAES_LNC019072)
Source: RNAcentral